Molecule: ribosomal RNA, 253 nt
Filed under: uncultured bacterium
Lineage: Bacteria
Description: partial 16S ribosomal RNA
Rfam family: Bacterial small subunit ribosomal RNA
Source: RNAcentral
GACGGGGGGGGCAAGUGUUCUUCGGAAUGACUGGGCGUAAAGGGCGUGUAGGUGGGUGAAUGCGUUAGAUGUGAAAGCCCCGGGCUUAACCUGGGAAUGGCAUUUAAUACGGUUGACCUAGAGUGCGAGAGGGGAAAGCGGAAUGGCGAGUGGAGCAGUGAAAUGCAUUGAGAUUCGCUAGAACACCAGAGGCGAAGGCGGCUUUCUGGCUCGUUACUGACACUAAGACGCGAAAGCGUGGGGAGCAAACAGG